Long non-coding RNA from Micropterus dolomieu (smallmouth bass), 1446 nucleotides. RefSeq lists it as uncharacterized. The record is from RefSeq and is a predicted model, not a curated record. The transcript is spliced from 2 exons. NCBI's taxonomy places the organism in Eukaryota, Metazoa, Chordata, Actinopteri, Centrarchiformes, Centrarchidae.
CUGAGGACAAUUUAGAAUCACCAAUCAACCCAGAGAGACAUGCGAACUCCACACAGAAAGGCCUGGAACGACCAAGGCUCAAACCCACCACCUUCUUGCUAUGACAGCCUUCAGCUAAUCUACAUUCCCUGGCAGGCUGCUCCCUGUCAGCCAGCUGCUGCAGUGCCCACCUGGUCCUCGGUGAUCUGCUUGGAAGGGGCAUUGAUGCCAAGCUCCUCCAGCGGGUAGAUGAUCUGGCGUCGCGGGCGGACAGGGACCGCGCAGUUGAGGACAAAAUCCAGAUGGUGGACACAGGAAUUCUGGGUGCAGAAGAAGAGGGCACAAUGUCAGAGAGCUCAGAAAGAGAAAAUCUCCUCUGAGGUCAAACAGCAUCAGUGUGGGGGCUCAGGAGGCAACUGGAAGACGACACAGUGAUAAUGAGCUCUGGUGAAGAGGUUAGAUGAUGCAAGGUUUACACCGCUGAUAUGAGCUGCCUGGAAAACAUCACCCAGGGCUUCAUCCACUGCCUGAUCAGAGCUAAUUCUCUGUUUAUCUUCUGCCAUUAUUCUCUUUGCACAUCAUCAUCUCCCAAUCUGGUGCUUGUUUGUGGAAGGUAAUUAACAGAGAAAGUGGAGGCCUCUACACGUUGAGGAAAUGUCUCAUUAUGGUGUGGAGAGGUGGAGCUGGCAGCACUGUCGGCACCUGCUGCCCUGACCCCGGGGACAGCAGCCUGCUGAGGGCGGUACUCUGCAAAAAAUGCUGCUGCUUAAAGCUGUUAUAACAUUUUUAUAAAUACAAAUCCAUCUCUGUGAUCAGCCUGAACAGCUGCAGAAGACAGUGUGAUCUGAGAUGCUGUAGACUUUGUUCUCUUCCUCCAAAUGUAUCACAAGAAAAAUAAAACAGAACAAUUUUAAAGUUUUAUAUCAAACAAUGGUGAAUACAGAUAUUGUGUGCUCACCUUUAUUUCACUUUCCAAAUACAUGGUAUAGCUACUUUAGCUAAACUGGACUAGUCUGAUGUGUAAUGUUGUUCACUUUGGUGUGAAGCAGGUGGUGAGCAAAAUGGUAUUACAACCAACAAGGAACAUUAAAUUAUUGCCAAAAAUACAAAAAGAAAAUAGAAAAGGCAGUUUAAAAAAAAGACAAUACGUAUAAUAUUUAAUCCAAAUUUUAAACAUCAAGGGUCAUAUAGGUUUGGCAGGACAGAGGAUAACGAUCAGACUGUUUUUCAAGUCUUAGUAAAAUGUUUACCAUCAUUUCUAAUCACGCAUAUUAGAGCCUCCAGUUUGAAAGGGCAAAUAUUUAGGGCAUCAAAAGUAUUUUGACAACAAGGUUUUUGAGGGCUAAGAAAUAACCAGACUGCAAAUCGCUGAUUCUCUUGUCUAGAUUGAAAAACAGAAAACCUGUCCAAUAUGUCCUGUCUGGCAGUUUUACUGUUGUUACACUUAUUUGACUUAAAGGACCGUGA